GUCAAUGGGCAGGGCUUGCGAUCUUCGCAUGUGUCUUAUCGUAAAGAAUUGUUAAAAUUUAGGAUAGGGAAAAAACUAUUUAAUGGAUGAAGCGAGAACAGCAGGAAGAAAAGGAGGGAAGGUAGUUUUCUAGUACAAGCAUAUUGAGAAGAAUGGAGGACAAAGUUUGCGAAGAGCCAGCAACUUUAUAAAGCAACUUGAGUCCUGAAGA
RNAcentral lists this long non-coding RNA (211 nucleotides) under Homo sapiens (human). RNAcentral describes it as "non-protein coding lnc-DEPTOR-5:1". The record is from RNAcentral. Lineage: Eukaryota; Metazoa; Chordata; Mammalia; Primates; Hominidae.